UUAACUCUGAUUUGAAAAAUUCUUAUCUGAAAUGAGUUUAAUAAUAGUAAUUCACCCAAAAAGGAUUGGAUAUUACUUCUCCUGACUCGGCUCCACUAACAGUUAUUAUAUUUAUGUAUGAAAUACUCUACCAGUCAGACUGAUGAACUCCUCAAUGCUGGACUGCAAACAUGAAAACUGAAAGAGACAAAGAAGACUCUUGACUCACAACUUUCUGGAUUACCUCGUUGCCAUAAAGAAAUUUAAUGUCGUUUUCAGAUUUUAAAGGACAUGAAUAGUACUUUCUUUAUUUGAAGAUGGGACAAGUGAUGCACAGAAACUGGUGGCUGUCUAGCAAGUGGAUCUGAAGAUUCAGUAAUCAUUAUUUAUUUGAUGUUAUCCCCAUUGACCUACAGUAACUUAUGACAGUGGGAUGAUGCUCUGUAUUUCAUGGAAAACUAUCUGCAAGAUGCAGAGCAUAAAUCACUUAAGGGUAAAGAAUAUAAUUACACCCAUGAAUCUCACCAAGUUGAUCCUCAUGCAUAAAUUUAAACUCAUACUAAAAUGUGUGUAGACCCAGAACUUGAGGAGCUGUAUGAGCUGUAUUUUGUUUUAUUCAGAGAACCAGCAAAAUAUUAGUGUACUUCUAUGAUGACAAGUAUGUUCUUGGAAUAGAUUUUAAUGGUAUAUUGAUUCUCUAUCUGAAUGAA
Molecule: long non-coding RNA, 689 nt
Organism: Lagopus leucura (white-tailed ptarmigan)
Lineage: Eukaryota; Metazoa; Chordata; Aves; Galliformes; Phasianidae
Exons: 4
Source: RefSeq, a predicted model, not a curated record